AUAGAAUUAUUGCUGCGGUUAAAAAGCUCGUAGUUGGAUCUGUGCCAUAGGACGUGGUCCACCUUCUGGGUGCGUACUAUGUUCCUAGGCUUUUUGCUGGUUUUCCCGUCGUAGCCUUCAUUGGUUGCGGCGGGUGGCUGGCGAGUUUACUUUGAGAAAAUCAGAGUGCUCAACACAGGCGUAUCGCUUGAAUGAUUGUGCAUGGAAUAAUAGAAAAGGAUUUCGGUCCUCUUUUAUUGGUUUUGUGGACUGAGAUAAUGGUUAACAGGGACCAACGGGGGCAUUCGUAUCGCUGCGUGAGAGGUGAAAUUCUUGGACCGUAGCAAGACGCCCUACUG
RNAcentral lists this ribosomal RNA (338 nucleotides) under uncultured eukaryote. RNAcentral describes it as "SSU rRNA". It matches the Rfam family "Eukaryotic small subunit ribosomal RNA", at positions 601 to 945 of the family's 1831-position model. The record is from RNAcentral.